GAUGAAGAACGCAGCGAAAUGCGAUAAGUAAUGUGAAUUGCAGAAUUCAGUGAAUCAUCGAAUCUUUGAACGCACAUUGCGCCCCUUGGUAUUCCGAGGGGCAUGCCUGUUCGAGCGUCAUUAUAACCCCUCAAGCUCAGCUUGGUGUUGGGGCCUGCUGCACUGGCAGCCCUUAAAAUCAGUGGCGGCGCCAUCUGGCUCUAAGCGUAGUAAUUCUUCUCGCUAUGGAGUCCUGGUGGAUGCUUGCCAUCAACCCCAAAUUUUUCUAUGGUUGACCUCGGAUCAGGUAGGGAUACCCGCUGAUCUUAAGCAUAUCAAUAAGCGGAGGA
RNAcentral lists this unclassified non-coding RNA (329 nucleotides) under soil metagenome. Its description in RNAcentral is "partial contains 5.8S ribosomal RNA, internal transcribed spacer 2, and large subunit ribosomal RNA". The stretch from base 1 to 120 matches the Rfam family "5.8S ribosomal RNA", at positions 35 to 154 of the family's 154-position model. The record is from RNAcentral.